GGCGAGAUAGCUCAGUUGGCUAGAGCACUUGGUUCAUACCCAAUAGGUCGAGGGUUCGAAUCCCCCUCUCGCUACCA
RNAcentral lists this transfer RNA (77 nucleotides) under bacterium. RNAcentral describes it as "tRNA-Met". It matches the Rfam family "tRNA". Rfam says of the family: Transfer RNA (tRNA) molecules are approximately 80 nucleotides in length. Their secondary structure includes four short double-helical elements and three loops (D, anti-codon, and T loops). The record is from RNAcentral.